AGAGUUUGAUCCUGGCUCAGGACGAACGCUGGCGGCGUGCUUAACACAUGCAAGUCGAACGAUGAAGCCCUUCGGGGUGGAUUAGUGGCGAACGGGUGAGUAACACGUGGGCAAUCUGCCCUUCACUCUGGGACAAGCCCUGGAAACGGGGUCUAAUACCGGAUAACACUCCUGCCCGCAUGGGUGGGGGUUAAAAGCUCCGGCGGUGAAGGAUGAGCCCGCGGCCUAUCAGCUUGUUGGUGAGGUAGUGGCUCACCAAGGCGACGACGGGUAGCCGGCCUGAGAGGGCGACCGGCCACACUGGGACUGAGACACGGCCCAGACUCCUACGGGAGGCAGCAGUGGGGAAUAUUGCACAAUGGGCGAAAGCCUGAUGCAGCGACGCCGCGUGAGGGAUGACGGCCUUCGGGUUGUAAACCUCUUUCAGCAGGGAAGAAGCGAAAGUGACGGUACCUGCAGAAGAAGCGCCGGCUAACUACGUGCCAGCAGCCGCGGUA
Molecule: ribosomal RNA, 497 nt
Filed under: uncultured Actinomycetes bacterium
Lineage: Bacteria; Bacillati; Actinomycetota; Actinomycetes
Description: bacterial SSU rRNA
Rfam family: Bacterial small subunit ribosomal RNA
Source: RNAcentral